GAUGAACGCUAGCUACAGGCUUAACACAUGCAAGUCGAGGGGAAACGAUAUUGGAAGCUUGCUUCCGAUAGGCGUCGACCGGCGCACGGGUGAGUAACGCGUAUCCAACCUGCCCAUCACUUGGGGAUAACCUUGCGAAAGUAAGACUAAUACCCAAUGACGUCUCUAGAAGACAUCUGAAGGAGAUUAAAGAUUUAUCGGUGAUGGAUGGGGAUGCGUCUGAUUAGCUUGUUGGCGGGGUAACGGCCCACCAAGGCGACGAGCAGUAGGGGUUCUGAGAGGAGGGUCCCCCACAUUGGAACUGAGACACGGUCCAAACUCCUACGGGAGGCAGCAGUGAGGAAUAUUGGUCAAUGGACGAGAGUCUGAACCAGCCAAGUAGCGUGCAGGAUGACGGCCCUAUGGGUUGUAAACUGCUUUUAUAAGGGAAUAAAGUGAGAGUCGUGACUCUUUUUGCAUGUACCUUAUGAAUAAGGACCGGCUAAUUCCGUGCCAGCCGCCGCGGUAA
This 508-nucleotide ribosomal RNA is filed under the name uncultured bacterium. Its description in RNAcentral is "partial 16S ribosomal RNA". It matches the Rfam family "Bacterial small subunit ribosomal RNA", at positions 28 to 523 of the family's 1533-position model. The record is from RNAcentral.